ACGAACGCUGGCGGCGUGCUUAACACAUGCAAGUCGAACGGAAAGGCCCUGCUUUUGUGGGGUGCUCGAGUGGCGAACGGGUGAGUAACACGUGAGUAACCUGCCCUUGACUUUGGGAUAACUUCAGGAAACUGGGGCUAAUACCGGAUAGGAGCUCCUGCUGCAUGGUGGGGGUUGGAAAGUUUCGGCGGUUGGGGAUGGACUCGCGGCUUAUCAGCUUGUUGGUGGGGUAGUGGCUUACCAAGGCUUUGACGGGUAGCCGGCCUGAGAGGGUGACCGGCCACAUUGGGACUGGGAUACGGCCCAGACUCCUACGGGAGGCAGCAGUGGGGAAUAUUGCACAAUGGGCGGAAGCCUGAUGCGGCAACGCCGCGUGCGGGAUGACGGCCUUCGGGUUGUAAACCGCUUUCGCCUGUGACGAAGCGUGAGUGACGGUAAUGGGUAAAGAAGCACCGGCUAACUACGUG
This 467-nucleotide ribosomal RNA is filed under the name uncultured bacterium. Its description in RNAcentral is "partial 16S ribosomal RNA". It matches the Rfam family "Bacterial small subunit ribosomal RNA", at positions 29 to 507 of the family's 1533-position model. The record is from RNAcentral.